AUUAGAUACCCUGGUAGUCCGCACGGUAAACGAUGGAUGCCCGCCGUUGGGUAUUUUUAUUCAGUGGCCAAGCGAAAGCGUUAAGCAUCCCACCUGGGGAGUACGCCGGCAACGGUGAAACUCAAAGGAAUUGACGGGGGCCCGCACAAGCGGAGGAACAUGUGGUUUAAUUCGAUGAUACGCGAGGAACCUUACCCGGGCUUGAAUUGCAGAUGACGGAUCCAGAGAUGGUGACUUCCUUCGGGACAUCUGUGAAGGUGCUGCAUGGUUGUCGUCAGCUCGUGCCGUGAGGUGUCGGCUUAAGUGCCAUAACGAGCGCAACCCCUUUCGUCAGUUGCCAUCGGGUAAUGCCGGGCACUCUGGCGACACUGCCGCCGCAAGGUGUGAGGAAGGUGGGGAUGACGUCAAAUCAGCACGGCCCUUACGUCCGGGGCUACACACGUGUUACAAUGGGGCAUACAGAGAGUUGGUCAUGCGCAAGCAUGAUCGGAUCAUGAAAGUGUCCCUCAGUUCGGACUGGGGUCUGCAACCCGACCCCACGAAGCUGGAUUCGCUAGUAAUCGCGCAUCAGCCAUGGCGCGGUGAAUACGUUCCCGGGCCUUGUACACACCGCCCGUCAAGCCAUGAAAGCCGGGGGCGCCUGAAGUCCGUGACCGCGAGAGUCGGCCUAGGGUGAAACCGGUGAUUGGGGCUAAGUCGUAACAAGGUAGC
This 711-nucleotide ribosomal RNA is filed under the name uncultured bacterium. RNAcentral describes it as "bacterial SSU rRNA". It matches the Rfam family "Bacterial small subunit ribosomal RNA", at positions 777 to 1500 of the family's 1533-position model. The record is from RNAcentral.